This 211-nucleotide unclassified non-coding RNA is filed under the name Hevea brasiliensis (rubber tree). The record is from RNAcentral. Lineage: Eukaryota; Viridiplantae; Streptophyta; Magnoliopsida; Malpighiales; Euphorbiaceae.
AUUUUCCUCUGGGUUUUUAUUAUCAUUAGUCUUAGCAGUAAGUGAUCAACUAAUUAGCUUUCUGAGUCUCUUUUCGGACACACUUGCAUACUUAUUCUGUGGUUCCAGAACGAGUGCAUGUCUAAUAUCUUGAAGAGCCUCUUUAUAGAAGAGAAGGGACUCUCUGGCAGUUCCCCUUCUCAUAUAAGCCUUUACAUUCUUUUUAUCAAGU